AGCGAACGCUGGCGGCAGGCCUAACACAUGCAAGUCGAACGGAUCCUUCGGGAUUAGUGGCGGACGGGUGAGUAACACGUGGGAACGUGCCCUUUGGUUCGGAACAACUCAGGGAAACUUGAGCUAAUACCGGAUGUGCCCUUCGGGGGAAAGAUUUAUCGCCAUUGGAGCGGCCCGCGUCUGAUUAGCUAGUUGGUGAGGUAACGGCCCACCAAGGCGACGAUCAGUAGCUGGUCUGAGGGGAUGAUCAGCCACACUGGGACUGAGACACGGCCCAGACUCCUACGGGAGGCAGCAGUGGGGAAUCUUGCGCAAUGGGCGAAAGCCUGACGCAGCCAUGCCGCGUGAAUGAUGAAGGUCUUAGGAUUGUAAAAUUCUUUCAGCGGGGACGAUAAUGACGGUACCCGCAGAAGAAGCUCCGGCUAACUUCGUG
RNAcentral lists this ribosomal RNA (433 nucleotides) under uncultured bacterium. RNAcentral describes it as "partial 16S ribosomal RNA". It matches the Rfam family "Bacterial small subunit ribosomal RNA", at positions 29 to 507 of the family's 1533-position model. The record is from RNAcentral.